UUUAAACUAGGAAACAAACAGGGCAACGAAAGUCUAAUGUUAGCCAUACUAGUCUCUUAAGGGUAUUAUAUAGUAUUAUAGAACUUACUGACACUAUCUGACACCUUGACCAGCCAGGUGUAAGAUAGUGUAAUCAUUUACAGUUUGCAUUAUGCUGCGUUCACGUGCAGGUGUUGAAGAAGCAGGGAGAGUCCAUCAUGGCUUCCAGCAUCUCCAGGAAUAGUUUGUGCAUGGGUACGCCACCACGGGUCUUAAUGCUGUAGAAGGUGGUAAGAGCACGACCAGCAGUCUGUCGGAGGAGAGGCAAUGUUAAAAGGAGGCGUCCUGCCCUCUGGGGGUCGUCUGGGUGCCGCUGACAUUCCAGCUCCAGCAGGGCCUGGUGGAGGAGGUCCCGCAGCUUCUGUACAGCCUCCAUGUCCUCGAUGUAUACAGAGUCUGACAGAACAGCAGGGAACACAUGAUUUCUGCAGGCUGUUCGAGUACCCUCCCCCUUAUGCUGCGUGACACACUCACUCCAAAGGUCACAGUCACAGGAAUGCUUGAAGGACAGACCGAGUAAAGCCAACACCUUGUCCCUCACUCAUAUACAAAGUCAUAAGCUGAAGUGUGGUGAUAACUCUCUGUAAAUAAUUAAAAAGACCGGUUUUAAUAAACAUUAAUAAACACAGCAUUACAUGAAAAGGUGUUUUAGCCUACUCUUUCAAAUGUAA
Molecule: long non-coding RNA, 710 nt
Organism: Micropterus dolomieu (smallmouth bass)
Lineage: Eukaryota; Metazoa; Chordata; Actinopteri; Centrarchiformes; Centrarchidae
Exons: 3
Source: RefSeq, a predicted model, not a curated record